UGGGGAAUUUUGGACAAUGGGCGCAAGCCUGAUCCAGCCAUGCCGCGUGCAGGAUGAAGGCCCUCGGGUUGUAAACUGCUUUUGUACGGAACGAAAAGCCUCUUUCUCAUAAAGAGGGGUGAUGACGGUACCGUAAGAAUAAGCACCGGCUAACUACGUGCCAGCAGCCGCGGUAAUACGUAGGGUGCGAGCGUUAAUCGGAAUUACUGGGCGUAAAGCGUGCGCAGGCGGUCUUGCAAGACAGUGGUGAAAUCCCCGGGCUCAACCGGGGAACUGCCAUUGUGACUGCAAGGCUGGAGUACGGCAGAGGGGGAUGGAAGUCCGCGUGUAGCAGUGAAAUGCGUAGAUAUGCGGAGGAACACCGAUGGCGAAGGCAGUCCCCUGGGCCUGUACUGACGCUCAUGCACGAAAGCGUGGGG
This 419-nucleotide ribosomal RNA is filed under the name uncultured bacterium. RNAcentral's name for it is "bacterial SSU rRNA". It matches the Rfam family "Bacterial small subunit ribosomal RNA", at positions 355 to 766 of the family's 1533-position model. The record is from RNAcentral.